AGCAAAAUCUGUUCAUAGAAAUCUAUGAAUAGACAUAUUUUUAGGGCUGUACAAAAUAGUUCGAAGUGUUGAAGCUUAGUGCAUAACAUUCACAUUCGAAUUCUAAAUCAACAUUCGAAUGUUGCGCAUUCGAAAUUUAACUAAAGACAACUGGGAAGUGUCACCUUCAACCACCAUGUUACUCCUUUAACCCUUUAACUGACUUCUCAACCAUGCGGUAGAGCUGACUUUGACAGUGAAAAAACCUAUGAAAAAAAAAAAGCUGCCCAGCAUCCUGAUUGGUGUGGGGCUCCAACCCCCCUUAAAAGAGUAUCUUUUUUCAACACAACUAUGUAGAGCAGCAGUUCCUGAACUUUCCCCACUCUGACAACGGAGGCAGCACCACAGAUCACUCCCCAAAGAUUAGGGCAUAAAGCAGGAAUUUGGCAGGUAAGGGAUAAACCAUGAUGUUUUUCAGAUAGAAGAGACCUUAAAGAAUAGGAAUAUGAUAUUAAAUAUCAAAAAUGUUAAAAAUCCAUUGUGCCAGAAUUUUACAAAAACAUGCUCAACCGUGCGGUUGAUAUGUCAGUAAAGAGUGGAAAUGACCAUGAGGCAGGGCAGAUGUUAGCAUAGUAGUUAGUGUGGUAGGAAGAUGUUUGAGUGGAAAAAGUGAACAAAUACAAUGAAAUUAUAUUAUAUUACUAAAACACAAUAUUAUCUUAUUACAUUAUACACUGCCUGGCCAAAAAAAAAAGGUUGCAGUUUGGAUUUUUUUGGACAGUGCCCACUGUACAAGCCUCUGGAGGCAGUGUUAUGAUCUGGGGUUGCUUCAGUUGGUCAGGUCUAGGCUCAGCAAUGUUAUGCGGCAAUAAAAUUAAGUCAGCUGAGGACCUGAAUGUACUGAAUGACCAGGUUAUUCCACCAAUGGAUUUUUUCUUCCCUGACGGCACGGGCAUAUUCCAGGACGACAAUGCCAAGAUUCAUCGCACUCAUAUUGUGAAAGAGUUGUUCUGGGAGCAUGAGGAAUCAUUUUCACACAUGAAUUGGCCACCACAGGGUCCUGACCUUAACCUCAUUAAAAAUCUUUGAGAUGUGCUGGAGAAGACUUUACGGAGUGGUUUGACUCUCCCAUUGUCAAUGCAAGAUAAUGCAAUUCUGGACAUAAAUAAAUGUGACGUUGCAUAAGGUUGUCGAAACAAUGCCACGGCGAAUGUGCAUGCACAUAUAUGUUAUGGGAAAACAUGUAGUGCAGUGUAUUGUUUCAUUCUUAGUGAUGGACACCAAAUUUUUCUAUGGCAGAGGAAAGGGUAGCAAAGCUGUGGUCCCCCUUGAUCCAGAGGAGUCAGACAUAGAGGACAGUGGUGAGGACUUGGAUGAUCCUGACUAUGUGCCAAGGCACACAGGUGACACACUGAAGAGUUACCAAUCCCUGAGCUUAUUGAGCCUGAUACACGCCCAGCCUGUGGCCCACAGUGAGGGCGAUGCAAACUCUGCCCAAAGGGGGUGCCACGAUGGAAGUGUGCAGAGUGCGGAGUCUUCCUGUGUCCAAACAGCACACAGCAGUGCUUUGUCACGUAUCAUCUCAAAUGAAAGCUGAAAAUGAGGUGAAUAAGAGAUUCCAAAUCUGAUCAGUUGAAAAAAUAUGUUCAGGACUGAGCAUGAACUCAAAUACCUGCAAUGGGUGUUUUUUAAAGUUUAAAGUUUUUAAAGUUUUGUUCAUGAGUUUAUACUUAAAAUAAAAUGACGAUGUAUGAAACGGUGCCUGAUUAUAAAGCAGAAAUGCCACACAAUGGAGUAUCUAUACAUGUAUACAGAUGUUUGUUCCAAAUCGUAGUUAAUGAUAUGUUCGAUAUGAAAUAUGUAAUCAAAAUGAAAUCAGUGAUACCUGGAAUGAAUGUUUUUUUACAUACAUAUUUAAACUGUUUUGUUCAUAGAAACAAAAUAGUUUAAACUUAUAAAAUGACAAUCAAACAGUGUCUAAUUUCUGGAUGUAUUUGGGAUGGGGAAAAUGCAUAGUUGUAUUUUCCCCAUCCCUGGAACAUAAUUCAGGUCUGAAGGGGUUCGUCUGAAUUAAUUCGUCUCAAAUUUACAAACAAUGACCACUCAAUGUCGAGCUUUCAAAACGUCAAGGAGGAUUCAUUCUGAAGUUAUGCUUCUUUAUAUAAUAGUGUGCCAGUAUGGGUGCAGUGAGUGGGUGGCAGAGACAGCGACUGGUUCCAACAUCACGGUGAAAGUGGGGGACAGCAUCAUGUUUCCUUUCUCAGCUGAGGGCAACCAAAGCUACACCGCUGACCUACUUUUUAAUACAUUUACAAUCGUUACAUGGCAUUUUCCUGACAUGAGCAGUUUUGUUCGAGAACAACAUAAGGGAAGGGUCAGCAUUGGCAAUGACUCGAUAUGGCUGAACAAUUUAAGCCUAUCAGAUUCUGGCCUUUAUCAAGUUAAAACUAAGUACGAAUCUGGAGGUUUCAAGUCUCCGGAGUACACAUACUUUCAUCUGCAGGUUUUUGGUAAGUUGCCAGAAAGCACAUUUCACAUUUCUGGAGGUUUUUGCACCUGUAGCUCCCCAUAUUUUGUUGUCCAUUUUGUCAGUGUUUUAUUAAAUUAUUAUAGGGAAUGCAUAAUUUUAAUCAGGGAUGAUAAGAAUAGUUUAGGGACUGAUUACACUAGCUGGCCUUACACUUGGAAUGUCAACAAUGAAAGUUGGCCAAACUUUAAACCUAACUAGACUGUUAAUACUUCCACAAAAUUAUUUCCUGGUUUCUGGGGUACACUGUAAUUCUUGACAUUGCAACAUUUGUCAUUUGUUAAGCAUGAGAUAAUGUCAGAUGGCCUGAACCUCUUAGUGAAUGUUUAAUGCUUGCUUUGUGUUCAAUAUGAGCAUGUAGCCAAGUAAAUUCUUUGAUUAUUUCUCCUGUAGAGCCCGUCUCUAAACCCAACAUCACAGCUGAAUGCCUGGGGAGUAAUGUAUGUCUGAGCUGCUUCAGCAAUCAGGGGACUGAAGUGACUUACAGCUGGGAAACUCUGCCCCCUUGUAAUGACAGCUGUGUGCACCUGGGCCAAGCGGUAGACCUCCAGUUACAAGCCCUCUCUCCAUCCACAACAUACACGUGUACAGCCCAUAACCCUGUCAGCAGAACCACCAGCGAUUCUGUUGAUCUGGAAAUGUGCUUCCUGCAAGGAUCACAAGUUAGAUGGGUUCCAGCCUUGUGUGCCACAUCAGCAUUCCUCGUCUUCGGAGUACUAAUACUGCUGUACAAGAGAAAAAAAGCACAAACAGUACAAAAGUGAAACAAUUCAAGUUGAAGUUGAUAAGCCAGUCAUGGAAGAGGAGCCACCGUCUGCAAGGCCUUCUAUUGAUCCAGUAUGUGUCUAUUAUAUGGACCAGAACAAAGCAAAAUGGUUCACAUUGCAAAGAGCAAUGUGAAGCCCUGUUGAAAUUGACAGUGACAGCAACCUUGAUUAAAGUUACGUAUCUGGAAAACUUCAAACUAAUAAAGGUAUAGAAAUCCUAAUAUUCUAGCAGGUUCUUACCAAUGAUACAUUAAAGAGGUGAUCCGGCUCAUUGGUGAGAAGUCGGGCAUGAGCUUUCCAUCUGUGGUGCAUCUCUUAUUGAAAUGACUCCAAGAUAAAUCAUUGCUGGCUACUGAAACGAAGGAAGCUAAUUAAUUCUGUUCUCAUUUUAUUUUACCUCCUGCGAUUGUUUCAUUCAUCUUUGCAUUUCAACCAUGUAAAUCACUCUGGAUAAGAAUUUC
Anguilla rostrata (American eel) is the source of this 3734-nucleotide RNA transcript. It is a transcript of the gene named T-lymphocyte surface antigen Ly-9-like, with no coding region annotated. The record is from RefSeq and is a predicted model, not a curated record. The transcript has 5 exons. NCBI's taxonomy places the organism in Eukaryota, Metazoa, Chordata, Actinopteri, Anguilliformes, Anguillidae.